GAUGAACGCUGGCGGCGUGCCUAAUACAUGCAAGUCGAGCGAACGGACGAGAAGCUUGCUUCUCUGAUGUUAGCGGCGGACGGGUGAGUAACACGUGGAUAACCUACCUAUAAGACUGGGAUAACUUCGUGAAACCGUAGCUAAUACCGGAUAAUAUUUUGAACCGCAUGGUUCAAAAGUGAAAGACGGUCUUGCUGUCACUUAUAGAUGGAUCCGCGCUGCAUUAGCUAGUUGGUAAGGUAACGGCUUACCAAGGCAACGAUGCAUAGCCGACCUGAGAGGGUGAUCGGCCACACUGGAACUGAGACACGGUCCAGACUCCUACGGGAGGCAGCAGUAGGGAAUCUUCCGCAAUGGGCGAAAGCCUGACGGAGCAACGCCGCGUGAGUGAUGAAGGUCUUCGGAUCGUAAAACUCUGUUAUUAGGGAAGAACAUAUGUGUAAGUAACUGUGCACAUCUUGACGGUACCUAAUCAGAAAGCCACGGCUAACUACGUG
RNAcentral lists this ribosomal RNA (497 nucleotides) under uncultured bacterium. Its description in RNAcentral is "partial 16S ribosomal RNA". It matches the Rfam family "Bacterial small subunit ribosomal RNA", at positions 28 to 507 of the family's 1533-position model. The record is from RNAcentral.